Molecule: long non-coding RNA, 1332 nt
Organism: Asparagus officinalis (garden asparagus)
Lineage: Eukaryota; Viridiplantae; Streptophyta; Magnoliopsida; Asparagales; Asparagaceae
Exons: 2
Source: RefSeq, a predicted model, not a curated record
UGAAAUCUCUCCCUUCAGUACGUUACAUAAGUUCCAUUUCCUUUGCACCAAUACUGUUUUGAAAUUUUAAGGUGCUAAAGUAUGCAGAUGCAGCAGUGUGAAAGAUGAACACCUUAAUCCUCUCCUAUUUGUCAUGGGAAGAAAAAACAAGAUUAUUCCUUAAUCAUGAGGCAUUAUGCAGCGACAGCCUCGAAACUACUUACAUGGUGUCAAUAGUUUCUUCAUGUUCACGCUUUUUAAUUAAUUUAAAACUAUUAUUAUAAUUAUCUUCUUGCAAGUAACACGUUUGAUUUGCUGACUUGCAAUCACUAAUUAGUAACAAUGAUAACUGGGUUUUUCAAUUCUAAAUUAUUUUAUUUUAUUUUUACAUACUUAGUGUCGUAAAAUUCGUCUAGGAUGAUGUCAUGAGUUGCUGCUCAAAUGUUGAUAUGAGUUAUUAAUUGUGUUUGCUGAGAUGUGUCAGUGCCACAAACAAGGGAUUGUGUGCUAGAUUAUAUUGAAUUUGAAUUUCUGAGUUUGCUGAAGGAUGCUUAAUUUACUUCAUGAACAUCCCUGUCAGUAUCAAGUAAGAAACGUCUAACCUUAUUAUAAUAUUACCUAUAAUUCUCUAGCAGAUGACAUAUCCUAACUUAUUCAAGGUUUCAUGUUUAGUAUCUAAGAAACUUUCAUUUUGUUAAUGCAGAAACAACUGAAAGAUUAGAAGCAACAGGUUCUGGCUCUUAUCAAGCUGUUCCUUUUUCUUAUGGAAACAAUGGCGGUUUAGCUGAUCCCAACAGCUAUGGACAAGAUCAUUCCUCUUAUGGAAACAAUGGCGGUUCACACAUAUGCUCCAUUGCAUUUCAUGUUUGUAAUGAGAGCAGUACACAUCAUUCCGACAAUGGCGCAUGCAUGUAUAUUUUCAAUACAUUAUUGGUUCAUUGCUUCCUUCGUAUUUCAAAUCAAUCUAUUUACUUUACUUCCUCAGAUUCUGAGAUCAGAGAGCAUUGAAAAUAUACAUGCUCCAUAUAAGGCUGAUGCACAGAUAGCAUAUUUAUCAUCUCUUAGUGCUGAUCAAGAAGGCAUUGAAGCUUUAAUAACAUAGGACAGCGACCUUAUUGCAUAUGGUUGUCAAAAUGAGAGAAAUUUGUUCUCAUUCUAACACAAUAGAUGAUAGAUCCAUUGCCAUUGUUGUACCUAUUGAAAUUUGAUUUGAUUUACGGCUGUUGCAGGUUAUAUUUAAGAUGGACAGAUAUGGAAAUACUGAAGAGUUUUUUAUGGAUAAGGUUUUAAACAAUGUUGGUGAUGGAUUAUCUUUCAAGCAUUUUGAUAAAGAAUUGUUCAAAGGUGAUGCUG